UACAGAGGUCCCCAAGCGUUGUUCGGAUUCACUGGGCGUAAAGGGUGCGUAGGUGGCCGGGAAAGUUCGGUGUGAAAGCUCCAAGCUCAACUUGGAAAUGUCAUCGAAAACUUCCUGGCUAGAGGAUUGAAAGGGAGACUGGAAUUCUCGGUGUAGCAGUGAAAUGCGUAGAUAUCGAGAGGAACACCGGUGGCGAAGGCGAGUCUCUGGGCAAAUCCUGACACUGAGGCACGAAAGCUGGGGGAGCAAACAGGAUUAGAUACCCCCUCGUAGU
Molecule: ribosomal RNA, 274 nt
Filed under: uncultured bacterium
Lineage: Bacteria
Description: partial 16S ribosomal RNA
Rfam family: Bacterial small subunit ribosomal RNA
Source: RNAcentral